RNAcentral lists this unclassified non-coding RNA (11195 nucleotides) under Leishmania donovani. Its description in RNAcentral is "gene:LdHU3.30.2140(CDS-product:ferric_reductase_t ransmembrane_protein_putative)". The record is from RNAcentral. Lineage: Eukaryota; Euglenozoa; Kinetoplastea; Trypanosomatida; Trypanosomatidae.
ACGAUGCGCCGGCUCAACAGAACGAGUGUUUUAGGCUCAUCGCUUCACCAGUCACCACCCCGACAGAGACCGCCACCGUUGUCAAGCAUGUUGGGUGCACCGAGUCCGGCAGCAGGCGAAUUCAGACGCCGUCUUGCACGGCUUCAGGGGUGAAGGGCGGGCUAGGCAGCAGAGGCACUAACGGGCCGAAGAUCCUGGCAGCCCUCUCCGCGCCGAGGGGGCAGCACCAUCCGCGAGAACCCUCAAAGAGCUCUGAAGGCAGGGCUGCCCGUCGAGUGGCUGAUAGAGGGACAAGACAAUGAGGUGCUCACAGGGGUGGAAGCUUGCCACGCGGGAAGGCGACACGCCACGGGGCUGCCUUUUCCUCUGCCAGAGUGCACUCCAAUGCAGCUGUGUUGCGCGUGCAGUCGACUGGCCACGCUCACGGACGACCUGACCGGAGGAGGGCUGUACCGCCAAGUCAGCACUGCGGAGAGAAGCGACUGCUGCAUUCCCCUGCACACACGACAUCGCUGGCCAGCCGGUAUCCCCGCAUGGGGGUCGACUCGCCGAAAGGCACGGCAGCGUACUUUUGGCUUCGCCUCCGUCCGCCAUCGUGGCGGCCGGACGUACGCAAGACCUUCUCGAGGAUCGCGGCACAGCGGCCUCUGACCUUCGUCAGGUGCAUGGCGCAACAACGCCUCGGCGCUGGCUGCGGGAGCUUCUCAUGUUGAUCUAUGUGUUCGCAGACGCAUCAGAUGAAGCGGUACGACGGCCCCCAAGACCGCACCCAUGCCGCUUGCGCCCCGGUCUUCCACAGGGGCACAGCGAAAGGCGGCCUGGGGAGGCGAGGCUUCCGUGCACGGCUACGUGGACUCUUCCGUAACUGUAAAACCGAACAGACGCCUCCACAAAGGGCCGGGGGCCGUGUCCUCCCCUUUCCUUAUCAUGUGCGACCGGUUUGACACCAAGGAGAACGUCCCGCUGGAGUAAUCCGAGGCAACUCAUCGCUGAGCGUCGCGAGGAGGACCUGAAAAGCGUCGAUCAAUCGUGUUCCGCUACGCAACGAUGCACAGCGCGCUGACACCCCCGUGCCGCUGUGUGCUGAUCGGGGACAGCCCAUGCACACCGAGGAAUCGCCGGAAUGGUCAGCAGCGCACGGCAGGAUGGCACCAGUUGAUGGGCAGCGAGAUUCCAAAUCGGGCGCCAUACGUGCCCGGUGGGUCUGACCUACAUAGGAGGGUCAGAGCCAAUCACCUCGUCAGGCCCUCUUGGCCGCAUCCACCGAAGAGCUACUGCGCAUGGCGCGCGGCCCCACAACUUUCGUGGGCGAGAAAUGCGAGUGGCACGACAACCCCGGACGUCUGCAAAACUCAGUGAAAUCGCUUUCGAUGCUGAAGCCCUCGCUCCACGACCAGCAGGGCACGCACGCUUCUCCUUUCCCCGCUUCUCCACUAUCCCUGCUGGUUGGGGGCACCUCGGCGCGUGGUAUCCAUGGCUCUGUACCCGCUCUGUAUGGGGGAGAAGCCAGGCAGCCUCCCAGCCCCCUAUCCAUUGCCCAUGCCGAGCUACUUCCGGCGGUGACACGGUCACGCACCCACGAAGUGGGGUGGGGGUGGAGGUGAGAGCGAUGUGCUGCUGCUGAUGUCUGCGGUGGGAGACUGGAUGGCGCUGCGUCGGAGCGGGCUGCGGCAGCGAGCACGUCUGCGCCGCCCACAUGAUGGACGAGGUGUGAGCGUGGCUGGAGGAUAUCCCACCCGGCCCUGGCACUGCCUCCUGGUGUGGGGAGCCUGCGCCACGGCGAGGGGGAUGCACCAGGAGGGGUGGCGGCCGGCGGAGCGGGUGGUUUGCAGAGCUGGAGUCAGCGGCCGUGCUUGUGUGCCUGGGUGGGCGCAGCGCUGUGACGCGUGUGCCCACCGCUGCCUCGUCCCGCGCGGUGUGACCUGCGGCAUGUGACGGGAGAGGUGGGGUCGUGCUGCGCGGCAGAGGAUGGCCAUUCUGGGGAGUACUAAUGGCUUGCCGGCCACGUGUUUUUUUUUCGCGCUUCGCGUGGCUCGAAGCGAGCCGGCGUGCUCCGGCUCGAGUGGCGGCCGCGCCGCCACGUAGUGUUCAACGACACAUCAGAGUGUCGCAGCUGCUGGUAUUUCUACAGAGAGACAAGUGCACGAACAGCUUCACUGUUUUGGAGGGGGAUCAGACAUGCGAAUGCGAAGCGCGCACUUCAUGUGUCGAGAGUGUUGCGUGCUGUAAGCCUCUUCCGCACACGCACGUGCGGCGUGUGGACCGUGAUGCACUAUACCCCGCGGGCGUUAGCGUUGCGCUUAUGAGGGAGGGACGUUCCUCACAUGUUCCCCACACCCCUGAUGUAGUCUGCAUCUGUGUGCUUUUUUUUUUUCGUCUCUCCCUUUCCCUCUGACCCAUUUCCUCAACACUGCGCCCCCACCACUGCGACCGCCAAACUCUCCGUCGCUCCAUCGUUGUCUGCUUCGAGACGAUAAAGACGUUGCACGCACCCCUGCUCCUCCUCCUGCACCCCCCUCUCUCCGCAGCGAAAAAAGAACGGAAGGCGAACAGGAGGCGACGAAGGAACGCACACACGCACAGACGCACAGAGGCGGGAGAAGACGGGGCGCAAGAAGCACGCACACGAGAAGGCACACAGCAGCGUCACGUGCGCUGCCGUUUCGGGUGUGCUCUUCGGUACUUCUGCUGCCCCUUUGCUCUGUUGGUCAUCUCCUCCCUUCUUACUCCUGGCUCUGCCUCUCCGGCCAAUCCUCUGCGCGUCUGCGAGAACUGCGAGGGUGUAUUCUCCUUCUGUCGUCGACGCCUCGCUUCCCUUUUCUGCUCCAGUGCGUUGAUCGACGCUCUCUGGCGCUGUGGAGGAUUCCGUGCCCUUGCUUUGCUCGGUCACACACUACUCUCUUUCUCUCCCCACGGACUCCUUCCGUGCCCUGUCGCUGCUUCCUGACGAGGGAGAGCGAGCGAGCGAGUGCGAGGACCCUGAGGGACACUCCUCCAGCGCGUCAAGUGGAAUCUUCCCCUACCGCUCGAAAAACAAAGGGGGAGGGAGUAAGGCUAACGAAGAGAAAGGCGUGCGUGUUGCCGCAAAACACAUAAAAAGCACUGCCCACCUGCGUGCGCAUCAGCUUCGUCACCACAGACACAAGCACAGGCAGGGGCACACGCGAGCAACUCCCUCCGCUCACCCACCCGCCUGUUCCCGUUGCCCAGGCUCCGUCUCCCCUCCGUCUCCGUCCCCUCCCCUCCGGCAAACCUCUUAUUGGCCUACCAGUGUGUGCGUGUGUGUGUGUCGACGCGCGCUUGAGUUUCAUUUGCCACCCCCUUUUUCAGCUCCCAUUUCUUCCCCUCCUCACCAUCCGAGGCCGUACGUGUAUCUGUGUGUGCGACGGAGGCCACGGCGACUGCGUUUCGACCACUUUUCUGCCACCGCAUCCAACGCACCUCAGCUGGAAGGAGUAAGGAAACAAAGGGCAGGAAGACCUGCAAAGGGUGGCAGCAGAAGAACCGCCGUAAGACACAGUCGUAUUUGUCUUCUUUCUCUAUUCACCCUCCUCCUCGCAAACUCGCUUCCCCUAUUUCGUGCUUGGUUUUUCCUUUUCCGUUCUGCCGUCUGUAGCGUCGCCCUCAACGUUCUCUUCCUCAUCCUGUCGACCUCCCUCAGCUUCCUUGUGCACUCUGUUUGCAUUGUCGCCCUCUUUUUGCGUUUGCUUAACGUCGCCGUCUCCACCUCCUCUCUUGCUCUCCCCCGUGUUCGGUGGUGUCGCGCACGAGGCACUCGCUUUUCUGGCUUUUCUGGCUUUUCUGGUUUCCUUUUCGCUCCCCACUUCCCUGUCCCAGUCGUCUUGUUUGUUUCUUCUCUGUUCUUUAUUAUCAUUUUUUCUUCUCUCGCGUGCUCGCAGCAUCGCGAGCGACGUCUGUAUCCACUCGUUGCCGUGUAGAAGGGCAGGCGGCAGUUGCAGCGACAGAAACACGCAAGGGCACCGAACAGAAGCGCCAAGGUUUUUGUGCUUCUCCCUUGAGGCUGCGUGUGUGUGUGUGUGUUUCCGUUGCCGUGUCUCCGAGUGCCCGAGUCGAGGCGUGAGCCCUGACCUGUCUCGAGAGCACUACAGUUGUGCGGCGCACCCAUACUCAGCCGUACGCGGUGCCCACCCGCCCACUCAUCCUUCACCCCACCACCGUAAAGCAGCAAGAGACAGCCUGAUAGCACACCCGAAGUGGAAAGACAUUUUUGAUCAACUUUAGCGGCGGCAGACAGCAACAACAAAGCAUCCCUCCAACCCACCCCUGAAACAACAACAGCAUACCUCCUUUUCUGCUGCUUUUACGUGUUUCCGUGCUUCACUUUCUCUCUCUCUGCCUGGACUACUCCUCUUACCUCCCUUUAGGCUCUCGCUGUUCUCCGCGUCUCUUCUCUGUGUGGGUGCGUAUCUGCGUAGUCGAGGAACGCUUUCGCAUAUUCUAUCUGCAUUGCAAGGGUCGACAACGGCAUCAUCUGAGAAGCGGCAGCAGGAAGCUCUACAAGGGACGGUAAAGGGCACGACAGGCAAGCUAGAGUCGUGCUGGGUUUGUUGUUGUGCUUCCGUGAGCUUAAGCCCGUUCGUGGUUGUUGUGUGUACUCUCCCCCUACUGCCUAGCUUGCUCUUUUCAUUCAACUCCUCUCGUUUCUCUCUCUCCCUGUUUGUGUGUUUGGGGACAUCCUGAGUGCUGGAUUAUCGCGCUCGCCUUUCCCAGCCGUGUUUCUCUUUGCGUUACGCGUUCGCGUCUGUCCUGAUUUUUUUCGUGUUUGGUUUUCAUUGUCGCGCGCCCUCGUCCUUUGUGUCUUUUUGUGUUGGCAUUUUUGGUCUCUCAUUGAACUCGUUUCUCGGUUUCUGCAUAACCACCAACCUGCCGCUCUCUAUCAAUAUAUGCAUGUAUCUCUGCACCUAAGUUGAAACCACACCGGACAAGAGAACAGAAACGCGCAAACAACAAGGAAAACAAGCAAAAGAACGCAUACUCGAUUCUAGUUUCAAGUACCAGUUUAUAUUUCCCUCUUAUGAUUUCCCCCUCUUAUGUUUCCGUUUCUUUAUCCAAGCACUUUUAUGCUUUUGUUCGGUCGUUCCUGUUGUUUCGCUCAACUCUUCGUCAGCAGUAUUGUCUGCCACCCCUGCUCUCCCCUCGUCCCCCCUUCCUCCUCGCCUCACUACUUCGUAUGCGGGUUCGUGGAUUCCUUUUUCUUUCCUUUUUCUUUCAUUUUUCGUGUUUUUCUUGUUUCGCUCGCUCACUGGUUUGUUUGCACGUGUCCCAUUGAGCGUCUCCUCGCGCACCCCUUCUCUCUGAUUCCAUUCGUUUAGGUAUUUUCCGGCAAAAGACACUGCCGCUGGCUGCGUGGCUCUCUGCCCCUUUCUGCGCAGACAACUCUCGCCUCCUCCUUCCCACAUCCCUGGCUCGUCGUGCGUGGUGUCUCGACUCCGUGCCCCCCCCCUUUGCCUUUCACUUGCUUUCUCUCUCUUGUGCAUAUACAUACAUACAUAUGUAUAUAUAUAUAUGUAUAUAUUCGAUUUCCAGGCAAACCGAGACCACGAACCGCGAGGAAAUCCAGCGAGCCGUCAGCAAUAGCACGCGCACGUAGGCACCAUCAAAGAUAGCUGUGCAAGUAUAACAUUUUAAGGUUGUUUCCACCACCUCUCUUUGUGCUGCUGUGCUGUUCUUGUUUCCGAUUUUUAUUUGUCCUCUGAAGUGGUACGAAACGUUUUCUGAGCUUUCUUUUGUCCGUUCAUUUGUGAUGUUUAUAUUCCUUCCGUAUUUUGCAAUCGAACGCGUGCCGACCACACCAAAAAAGCGUGUCUCUCCGCUGUCUGCCUCUUCCCUCUCGGCCCCCACUCUUUCUCGGCAGGUGAAGUGUUUCCUCUUUCUUUUUUCCUUUUGCGUGUGAUCGUGUGCGUGUGUGUGGCAGAGGAGGGUAAGCGUGCGUCCCUCUGGCUGUUCUCUUCACUUCCACCCACCCACCCACCGUCAGAUUCUCCAGUGCAACCACCGCGCAAGUGACGCGAUUUCACGUUAGUCUGGACUGGCUGGCGUCCUUUCUCCCUCGCGCUCUCUCUCGUUUCUUGUUUUUGUUUUCGCUUUGCGGUUCUUCCUGUCUUCAGUCUGUUUUUUGCAGCCAUCUAUCUUCCCCUGCGCGCCUCGGCGUCUGCGGGUGUGCUGUUCUCCUCCAGCGCAGCAUCACAGCCACGGCUCACGCCUUGGAUCAGCGUAAGAGCAAUAUCAGAAGGCUACACACAGGCAUAGACGAAGGAAGCGUACGCACUAACCCUGACAGCGCAGAAUCCACUUGCCGAUCGCAGCAGUAGACCCUUCUCUUCGCCUCACAGCAUUUUGUUUGCCCCCCUUGUACGAGUGCCUACGGUGAUUUGCACCGGCAUCUCGUUCUGUGCGCUUGUGCGUGCGCAUACGAACGCGAGCACGUCUGGGCUUCGCGUAGGGGCGAGACUUUUGAUUCGGCUCUAUUUGCAAAUCACCCAACCGUUUGGCCGCGCCAAUCUCCAAGAUGAUGCACAUCGCCCCUCUGACACUCACAGCGCAGCUGUGCUACCUCAUUGCUGGCACGGUGGUGUGCGUCUUCUUUACCGUCUUUGGUUACCUGGUGUGGCGUACGCAGGGCUAUUACGAGCUUACACCUGAAGGGCAGGAAAGCAGCGCCGGCUUUACGCCGAACGGUAUCGCCGGUGUCACGGGCUUCUUCACGUUCGCCGGCCUCGCUGUGGCGCUUCUCAUCGAGACGACGCUCUUCUACGUGCGCUACGCCUUCCACCCAUCCCACAAGGGCCGCUACUGGGCGAUGCACCGGUAUGCCUCCGUGAUCCUUCAGGCAGCUCUGGGUAUCCUCUACGUGGCGACUGGUGUGACGCUCCUCGUCGAGUGGGGCGGCAAUCCUGCACAGUGCGCUUUCAUCUUCUGCUUGGGAGUCGACAAGUACCCGGAGGCGCCUCGAACGCGCGGUGAGGACUUCAAUGUUACUCUCUCCGUGAUCACCUUCUUCGUCCUGGUGCCUGCAGGGCUGGUGCUGCUGUACCGCGUCUUCACUACUGUCAUGCUGCAGAGGACCGCGAAGGUGGUGCGCGAGCGUGACGCGGCGAGCGUGGCAGCCGGCGCGCAAGCGUCCAGCAGCGCUUCCGGCCAGUCCACCGGCGAAGAGACGCCCUCGCCGGGAAGGGGUCGUGGUGCGAUUGCUGCGGUCGCGACGGAGGCGAACCCAAUGGCGAAGUCGGAGCGCAUGUGGCCAUUUCAGGCGAGAUCGAGGGUGAAGCAGGUGUGCCGCCUUGUCGGCGUGCUGAUUGGCAUCCUGGUGUGCGCCAUUCUCUCCUUCUGGCUGCCAAAUGACUCGCGCCGUUGGAGCCCCGACUGUAUCGCCUCCUUCGCUCGCAAUGGCAUCUCGCGGGAGAGACACACUACUAACAUGACUGUGCCGGAGAUGCCGGACGCGUGGCUCCGCACCGGCCAGAUCCGCUUCUCUGAUGACCUGACGCUGAAGCUGUUCCCGGGCAACGUCUUCUUCUACGCGUACCUGCUGACGACGGCGAUCGUUGUGUUGGUGCUGCGGCUGACGCAGCGCGGGCGGUACUGGGUGCAGCGCCGCAUUCCGCUGUGCGCGUGCUUCACAUAUGGCGAGGCCGCUUUUGUCGCCGCCACGGCGCUGCUGUCGGUCAUGUUCUUCAUCUACUGGCUGCACGACCACAACUACAAGCAGACCUGGACUGUGACAGCGAAUGAGAGUGCACAGAUUGAGGCGCCGGAGCGGUGGGCCCGCGGGCUGGGCCAGCUGGCCAUCCUGUUCCUUUCGCUGCUGUUGCUGCCGGUGAGCCGUCAGUCGGUGGUGGUCAGCGUGCUUGGUGUGUCGCGGGAUGGCAUGUUGUGGUUCCACCGCGCUGUCGGCUACGCCAUGCUGGCGGCCACGGUCGGCCACAUCGUGGCCUUCUAUGUGUCCUACGCCAGUUUUGGGUAUCUCAUGCAGAACCUGAACACCGUCACCAAUCGCGUGUGCAAGAAGGGUGUUUACGACGACUACACCGUUUUGGUCGUGACGUGGACAACGUGGUUCCUGCUGAUCUCCAUGGGCAUCUUCGCCUUCAAUCUGGUGCGCCGCCGCCACUACGAGCUGUUCUACUACACGCACCUCGCCGCGACCUACAUGACGCUACCCGCCAUGGUCUUCCACGCCUCUGCUGGCUGGAUGUACCUGCUCCCCGGCAUGACGGUGUUCCUGUCUGACCAGCUGGUGCGUCUGUGGCAGCGGUCCGCCGUGGUGCGCGUCGUGCGCGCGCGCGUGAUCGGCGACGACACGACGGAGCUGGCCUUCUCUGUGCCCGGGCGACGGGACAUGCGGCACGUGCACCCGGGGCAGUACGUGCUGGUGUGCGUGCCGGAGCUGACGGCGCUGCAGUGGCACCCCUUCACUCUGAUCAACGUCGUGGACGAGGAGUCGGCUGCCGUCGGAAGCUCGAAGGCGAGCACGACGGGGACCGUGUUCUACGUGCACGUCAAGUCGAUGGGGCCGAAGACGUGGACGGGGCGGCUGUACGACCUAGUGAGCCGCGGCGAAGAGAUCACGAUGGCUGUGGAGGGGCCUUGUGGGACGCCGGUGGACUACCGCCACUAUGACAAUAUUGUUCUGGUUGCCGGUGGCAUCGGCGCGACGCCGUGCGUAUCGAUCCUCGGGUCGCUGCUGCGCCAGUGCCACGCUCUCGGCCACAGUGGCGCUAGCCCACGUGUGGAUUUCAUUUGGUCUACUCGCUCUGCGCGUCACGUGAAGGCUGUAGCAGACAUGCUGCAGCUGCCGAUGCGGUGUGGCGACGUGGUUCGUCAGCCUGCAACCCGUUCGGCGUUGAAGAAGAUCGACACGUGUGCGGCCCCCGACGACAUCACCAAAGAUGCCAGACUGAAUACCGAGAUCAUCCAGCCCGCCGACUCCCUGGAGCAGGACGAGCCGCUAAAUGAUGAACUCAGUGCGGUGAACGAGGUCGUCCGCAUUGCUGACGACGCAGCGCAAAAAGUUUUCAUCGACGUCUACGUCACUCGUAAGACGGAGCUGCGGCAUUUUUCCAACGGAGAUGCGUGCCUGGGCGAGCAGUGCCCAUCAAAGGCCCUCCUCUCGGCAAGGAAAGGCUUUGUGGAGCUGGAUGGCAAACCGCUUAGUUGCGCGGGUGCCAUUGAGAAUGCCCAAAAUGCUGUGGACAGCGCCUCUCCUUGGAAGCAGAAGGCAGCGGCGGCGAUGACGCCCGGGCUGCAUGGCAAGGCUGACGAUGCGGGAGAAGCGGAGGAGAUGGUGUUCUCCAAUGAGCCUAUGGGCAGUGAAAGCGAAGGCUUUGAUUCGGCGAGCGCCGAUGGCUGUGAGGAUGGCAUCGAAGGCGCUUCCGAGUCGACUGCGCAUAAAAAGGAGCGGAAAACUGUUGUCGACACUGCAUCUGCUACGGAUCAGGAAGGUGCCUUGGUGUCAAAUGGUCUUUCCAAGUGGUCGUCGAGCUCUGUUAUGAAGUCGGGCGAGCGCCUGCAUGACAACAGCGACAGCAGCGGCAGCGGGUGUGUGGCGGUGAAGGUGCACCUGGGGCGCCCCGAUGUCGAUCGCCUCAUCCGCGAGGCACUCAAGCAGCCUGGAACUGGCGUCCAUAAAUCCUCGAGACUGGACACGGCCCGCACGUUGUUGUUUGUGUGCGGUCCGAACUCGCUCGUUCGCCAGGUCACGUCCUCAGGGGCGCAGCUCGGUGUGGCGGUGCACAAGGAAGAAUUCCUCUUCUAGGUUUCUCUCAUGUGCGUGCCUGCGUGCUCCCUCUGUCGCCCCGUCAAUCUCUAAUGCUGGUCUUCCGUCUCGCGAACGCUUCCUCGCUAACUUUUGUUGGCGACUUGCCGCUGCGCUAUCAAGAUAGGCAGAGGGAGAGAGUCAUGUACAGCACCUCCUCCCCCAACUCCUCCAUCUGUUCGUGAAAACACGCAAGUGCUUGGGCGGAUGCGUGCUCCUCAAGCUGCGUGGGGCUUUCGCCGCACACGGCGAUGCUCCAGAGGCACUUUGCGUGCACAUGUCUGUGUUUUAGAGUGAAGGUGGCAAUGCAUGUCUGCCCUCUCUCUCUGCCAGAGACGGGGAGAGAGAGGUGGCGUGGUGGUCUGCGAUGAUGACAAGAAUGAGUUAUGCUGGCGGCGCUGGGCGAUGGCUGUGAUGGUGGCUGCGAGACACGUUUUCGUCGCUGCAACUGCUGCUGGUGCUCCUAGGGUCAGACCCCCACCCACCUCUCACUUGUAUCGUUUCCCUCUACUGCAUGCGGUCUCCUUUUUUCUUUCUGAUACGUGGAGGUAGCACACAUCAGAUACACUAUGGAGGGAUGGGAGGGGCGCGCUCUUUCUUUUUGGAUGCGCUCGCCGCUCUGUCGCGCCCCUUGUUUCCCCUUUUGACCUUUUUUGCCUGCCCAACCUCCCGACUGCGUGCGGUGCAGACGCUGAUACAAUGAAGUGGGUCCGAAUGCCCGGCCAAGCAAUGCCGAGCUACUCAUUUCGCUUGUAUCGCUCGUUCCCGUCUCUGGCAUCGAUAGGGAGAAUAGUGGAGCAUGAGGGCGCUUCUUUUCCCCACCUCGUUUCUGUUUUUCUUUUCUGUGUUGAUGGCCUCGAACUGGAAAAGGAACACGGCAGCUGAACUGUUGAACAGGGCGAGCUAAGAUCAACUGCCUCACCCUCUGCCGAGUUGCUUCAUCAGUCUCACGCAGACACACCGGUCAUGUAUGCGUGCGGCAAGCGCACACUCACACCCAAACAGCGAUGCAAAAGAAAAGGCGCCCACGUGUGUGUGCGUGUGUCUGUGCGCUCGUCUCUUCUCUUUUAUGUGUAUAUAUGUGUUUCUUUACGCGAGAGGCAGUCGAAGGAGGCGAGACGCAGAGUGGGGGAGUGGGGGGAGACAAGAGUGCGCGAGAAGUGGCGAUGAUCUGCGGAUACUCCCUUUCGUUUCGUUCCUCGUUUGUGUGCGGGUGGGUGGGCUGCGGUGCACGCCCGCUAUCCGCUGCUGGCUCUGUGCCCCCCCCCUCGCCUUCUGCCUCCUUGUGGUGCUGCGUUUCCUUUUAUUCCUUUUUUUGCCCCCCCCCCCUUCCCCUCCCCGCUUUGGUGCUCCCACGCGUGCAUGUGCACAUAUGUGUGUGGCCUGUGGCUCUCGCCUCUUCCUUCCCUUUGAACUUCAG